This 1183-nucleotide long non-coding RNA is filed under the name Vigna radiata. RNAcentral's name for it is "long non-coding RNA (VRAD_LNC011458)". Lineage: Eukaryota; Viridiplantae; Streptophyta; Magnoliopsida; Fabales; Fabaceae. The record is from RNAcentral.
ACAGUAUCUAAUGGAACAGACUCGAAAACAGACUCUAAAGACAAAUUCCUAGAAUGCAUAACUAACCUAUGAAACGUCCUAUCAAUUUCAGGAUCAAAAGGUGGUAUGAAUCCAAGAUUUCCUCUAGUCAUGCACUAAAUCACAACACCUUAUAAUCAUGAAACAAUAGCACAAAAAUUCAAAACACAGAAAACAACACAAGACAACACAACUCACACAAACACAAACACAACACAAGACUCAAAACUGAACCAUUGGUCCCCGGCAACGGCGCCAAAAUUUGAUAAGCUGUCGCAACCCACACAAAUUUGAUGUGCAAAUAAAUGCAGUAUAGUUAGGGAAUGACCCCUAGGUCGUCUCCCAAAGACCAAUUUUGCGGUUCAAGAAUUGAGUCUAACACGAAGAGGGGGGUUGAAAAGAUUUUUCAAAAAUUAAAAUAAACUCAAUAAAGACAAAUAUGCAAACAAACUAAUUUAAGCUAGCAUGGUAAUUAAACUAACACUAAUAAAAAUCUUAGACAACAUUCAAACAAAAUAAAAUAAAAUANUAGACACCAACACUAUUAGANACAACUAUCUANCAAAGUUAAAUUAAUUUAAAUGCAAAACUAAAUUAAAGAAAUUAAGAACAACUAAACCUAUUAUGUAGACUAAUUUAAAACAANGAAAUAAACAAUCAUUGUGUUUCUUUUACCAAGCACAUGACACAUGCUCCUUCAAACAAAUUAAAAUUGCAAGUGCCCUAAANUUGGCCCUCCUUGCCGUGACUUCCCAAGGGAACAAAAUGAAAUUCUCCUCUCCACCAAGUCAUUUACGUGCAGCCCCCACUCUCCCACGACAAUAUGUCACGGUUUCCAAGCACCAAAAGAAACACAAACAUUGAAAUCUCCUUUCUUUCAGAGCCUUGUCAACUACACUUCCCAAGAGCAAUGAAAAUGAAUAUUUGAUUCUAAAAAGCUCCCCCUUUUUCCGUCACAUGGUCUGCACCAAACACCAAUUCAAUUUGUUUCUUGCAUAAACAAUUAAAUAUGUUCCCCUCUUGUCCAUGUGCUUCACUCUCCAAGAAAAGGCAUGUGCUACCUAUGCCAUCAUGAAAAACNGUGCUCCCUCUCUCCUCNAAGUCAAAGCUACACAACUUUCAAUGUUUAACACAAAAUGAAGUGUUCCANAACUCAAUAACCAGC